This 549-nucleotide ribosomal RNA is filed under the name uncultured marine bacterium. RNAcentral's name for it is "bacterial SSU rRNA". It matches the Rfam family "Bacterial small subunit ribosomal RNA", at positions 66 to 660 of the family's 1533-position model. The record is from RNAcentral.
ACGAAGUAGCAAUACUUAGUGGCAGACGGGUGAGUAACAUGUGGGUAUCUACCCUUUGGCCUGGAAUAACACGAGGAAACUUGUGCUAAUACCGGAUAAGUCUUUACGGAGAAAGCUUUAUGCACCAUUGGAUGAGCCCGCACUUGAUUAGUUUGUUGGUGGGGUAAUGGCCUACCAAGACUUUGAUCAAUAGCUGAUUUGAGAGGAUGAUCAGCCACAUUGGGACUGAGACACGGCCCAAACUCCUACGGGAGGCAGCAGUGGGGAAUCUUGCACAAUGGAGGAAACUCUGAUGCAGCGAUGCCGCGUGAGUGAAGAAGGCCCUUGGGUUGUAAAGCUCUUUCGUCGGGGAAGAAAAUGACUGUACCCGAAUAAGAAGGUCCGGCUAACUUCGUGCCAGCAGCCGCGGUAAUACGAAGGGACCUAGCGUAGUUCGGAAUUACUGGGCUUAAAGAGUUCGUAGGUGGUUGAAAAAGUUGGUGGUGAAAUCCCAGAGCUUAACUCUGGAACUGCCAUCAAAACUUUUCAGCUGGAGUUUGAUAGAGGAAA